UACGAAGGGGGCUAGCGUUGCUCGGAAUCACUGGGCGUAAAGGGUGCGUAGGCGGGUCUUUAAGUCAGGGGUGAAAUCCUGGAGCUCAACUCCAGAACUGCCUUUGAUACUGGGAAGCUUGAGUCCGGGAGAGGUGAGUGGAACUCCGAGUGUAGAGGUGAAAUUCGUAGACAUUCGGAAGAACACCAGUGGCGAAGGCGGCUCACUGGCCCGGUACUGACGCUGAGGUGCGAAAGCGUGGGGAGCAAACAGG
This 253-nucleotide ribosomal RNA is filed under the name uncultured bacterium. Its description in RNAcentral is "partial 16S ribosomal RNA". It matches the Rfam family "Bacterial small subunit ribosomal RNA", at positions 524 to 776 of the family's 1533-position model. The record is from RNAcentral.